CCUACGGGUGGCAGCAGUGGGGAAUAUUGCACAAUGGGGGAAACCCUGAUGCAGCGAAGCCGCGUGAGCGAUGAAGUAUCUCGGUAUGUAAAGCUCUAUCAGCAGGGAAGAAAAUGACGGUACCUGACUAAGAAGCCCCGGCUAACUACGAGCCAGCAGCCAUGGUAAUACGUAGGGGGCAAGCGUAAUCCGGAUUUACUGGGUGUAAAGGGAGCGUAGACGGCUUGGCAAGCCAGAUGGGAAAGGCUGGGGCUCAACCCCAGGAGUGCAUUUGGAACUGGCACGCUAGAGUGUCGGAGAGGCAGGCGGAAUGCCUGGUGUAGCGGUGAAAUGCGUAGAUAUUAGGAAGAACACCAGUGGCGAAGGCGGCCUGCUGGACGAUGACUGACGUUGAGGCUCGAAAGCGUGGGGAGCAAACAGGAUUAGAUACCCGAGUAGUC
This 440-nucleotide ribosomal RNA is filed under the name uncultured bacterium. Its description in RNAcentral is "partial 16S ribosomal RNA". It matches the Rfam family "Bacterial small subunit ribosomal RNA", at positions 338 to 795 of the family's 1533-position model. The record is from RNAcentral.